UCAUUAUUUUAUUCAAUAAAAAAAAUUGAGAGUUUUAUUCUCUCUUUGGCUUGUCUUUGAAUUCUUGCAAAUUCAAUGUGAGAUUCAAUAAUGACUUAUCAAAUGGAAUCACCAACCCCAUUUGUAGCUUCUGUCACGAAUAUGGACUCAGUGGAGCUUGAAGACAAGCCUGGUUUCGAUGCUAUGACUGAUUUGGGGAAGAAAGGGGAUUUGGAGGAGAAAGGCUUGGUGGAGAAUAAACAAACACAUGGCUAAAGUGGUUGUUGAUAAAAGUAGAAGUUGCACUUCUUUAAAUAGCAUUAUCCCUUUUACUUGAUAUUGCUUUUGUUACUUUAGUUUAUUUUUCAGAUUAUGCUCGUUGUUGCUUGGGACCACUAGUAUAAGUAUUUCCUUGUUUUUCCAGAAAGCCAUGAAUGGGAAUUAACAAUUUCUUCAUCCUUAUUUCUCUCUCUUCCCUAUUCCUAUCUUCUAUUUCACGAUCUGCACUUCCAAUUCAAUAUACAUAUAUCUGGGCCCACUACAAUUGGUAUCUAGAGUCAGUUUUUGCAUCUUUAGCAAAUUCUGGGCGAGUCAUGGCGGAAGCAACUCGAUUUAAGGACCUGCAAGAAGCAAAAAAGAAAUUAGAUCAAAUUCUACAAACUGAAACCAUGAAAAGGGUGGCAGCUGAGGAGAAAAUUCAUGAGCAAAUGUCAGCAAUAGAUCAGAAGGUGGAACACAAGAUAAGGGGUAUUGAUCAUAAGUGUGAUCAUCUAGCUAAACUUAUGGCUGAUAUUCAAUUGCAAUUGAUGAAUGUGGGCAAAGACGUGGGCAAAUCAGAUUCCUCAAUUCUGGGUAAAGAUCCACUACACCUACAGUCUGCUAUUUCUGCAGCAGAAAAAGCAUUUGUUUCAUACCCAAAAACACGGUAUGUGUCUUCUUCAAUGGGUUAUGUAAUGCUUUAUACAGAACCAGUUCUUAUUUGGUGACUAUUGUGCUAGCACUUGUAUUUGCUAAUUGUUUGCGUUGUUGCUUAUCUGAUUGUUGAAAAGUUUUUUGUCUCUUUCUUCUUGUUGAAUACUGACAUCCUAUAGUUGCGCUAGUUUUUGUGAUUGGCAUAGGUAUUCUCCUAUUUUUAAUUUUUUUGGGACUGAUUUGCAUAUUUGGAUUUAUUUGUUAUGUCUUUUGGGUCGUAGAUGCCGGGUGAGGGUAUUCGCGACUCCAAGAUUGUGUUAUUGUUAGUGCAAGAAGUUUUGCGACAACAAUUGAUGCAAAUAGCAAUUGUUCUUGCGUUUGUUGAUACUUUGUGUUCAAGAAGAAGAACUAAUGAGGGGAUAGCAGCUAGGUUCAGUAUGAUACGUCGUAUGCCUGAUCAAGAAAGGCAUUUAGAACGUGUAACUGGUGGUAGUGAUGUAGACUGUAUCAAUAACCUUCUAAUGGACCGUAAUACAUUUGGGCGAUUGUGUCAGCUAUUGAGGGAAAGAGGGGAAUUAGUUGAUGGGCGAUAUGUUUAUGUGGAGUAACAAGUUGCUGUGUUCGUCUCAGUCCUUGCCCAUCACAAAAAAAACCGAAUAGUAGGGUUUGAUUUUUUGCGAUCCGGACAAACUAUAUCACAUUAUGUCCAUGCCGUUUUAGGGGCUGUUAUACGAUUGCAUGCAACAUUCUUAGCAAAACCAGAGGCUGUCACGGAUGAUUGCACAGACGAAAGGUGGAAAUGGUUCAAGGGCUGCUUAGGUGCAUUAGAUGGAACCUAUGUGAAUGUAUUGGUUAGCAAUACCGACACACCGAGAUAUAGAACAAGGAAAGGUGAAAUUUCAACGAAUGUUUUAGCUGUUUGCGAUCGCAAUGGUCUAUUUAUCUAUGCACUAUCCGGAUGGGAAGGAUCGGCAUCGGAUAGUAGGAUUUUAAGAGAUGCCUUGAGCCGCCCACACGGCUUAAAGGUGCCACGGGGGAGAUAUUACUUGUGUGACAAUGGAUUUUUGUCUCCGUUCAAAGGUGUACGAUAUCAUUUGAAGGAAUGGGGUCCAAUGGGUUCACGGCCUCAAAAUAAAGAAGAACUAUUUAACCUACGUCAUAGGAAAGCGAGGAAUAUCAUAGAAAGAGCAUUUGGAAUAAUAAAGAUGCGAUGGGGAAUUCUGAGAUCUACCACUUUCUAUCCAAUAAAGACUCAGAAUAGGCUAAUUAUGGCAUGUUUCUUACUGCAUAACUUCAUCCGUAGGGAGAUGUCUGUUGAUCCGGUAGAGCUAGAAUAUGAUGGGGAAAAUGAGGGACAUGGUGGUUUAGAAGGAGAGGUUGAUGAUUUUGUUGACACUAUUGAAUCUUCACCUCAAUGGACUGCCAUGAGGGAUGCAUUAGCAGAGGAAAUGUGGAUACAAUACCUAAAUACUAAUUAGGAUUGCGUCUAGCUCAGAAGUUUCAUCAAACAACCCAAUUUGCAGCUGCCGCUUAACUAUGAUUGUUUUUUGUUGUUAGCUUUCCCCCUUAGGGGCUCCCACUUGCAUAUUUUGUUGAUCGCAAAUGGUUAAGGGAGUUCCCCUUUUGUCAUUUCUGUAAGGGGGUCUGUUUAGUUUGUUUCCUUCAUCUGGUAGAAUAUGUAUAUAAAGUAUGAAGUAUGAAGCUUGUUUAUUCUGUGAAGGUUUGUCUAAAUGGCGCAAAA
Salvia miltiorrhiza (redroot sage) is the source of this 2632-nucleotide RNA transcript. RefSeq lists it as uncharacterized. The transcript is spliced from 5 exons. The record is from RefSeq and is a predicted model, not a curated record. NCBI's taxonomy places the organism in Eukaryota, Viridiplantae, Streptophyta, Magnoliopsida, Lamiales, Lamiaceae.